Molecule: ribosomal RNA, 254 nt
Filed under: uncultured bacterium
Lineage: Bacteria
Description: partial 16S ribosomal RNA
Rfam family: Bacterial small subunit ribosomal RNA
Source: RNAcentral
UACGAAGGGGGCUAGCGUUGCUCGGAAUCACUGGGCGUAAAGGGUGCGUAGGCGGGUCUUUUAAGUCAGGGGUGAAAUCCUGGAGCUCAACUCCAGAACUGCCUUUGAUACUGAGGAUCUUGAGUUCGGGAGAGGUGAGUGGAACUGCGAGUGUAGAGGUGAAAUUCGUAGAUAUUCGCAAGAACACCAGUGGCGAAGGCGGCUCACUGGCCCGAUAUUGACGCUGAGGCACGAAAGCGUGGGGAGCAAACAGG